Molecule: ribosomal RNA, 437 nt
Filed under: uncultured Staphylococcus sp.
Lineage: Bacteria; Bacillati; Bacillota; Bacilli; Caryophanales; Staphylococcaceae
Description: bacterial SSU rRNA
Rfam family: Bacterial small subunit ribosomal RNA
Source: RNAcentral
UAACGCGAAGAACCUUACCAAAUCUUGACAUCCUUUGACACCUCUAGAGAUAGAGNUUUCCCCUUCGGGGGACAAAGUGACAGGUGGUGCAUGGUUGUCGUCAGCUCGUGUCGUGAGAUGUUGGGUUAAGUCCCGCAACGAGCGCAACCCUUAAGCUUAGUUGCCAUCAUUAAGUUGGGCACUCUANGUUGACUGCCGGUGACAAACCGGAGGAAGGUGGGGAUGACGUCAAAUCAUCAUGCCCCUUAUGAUUUGGGCUACACACGUGCUACAAUGGACAAUACAAAGGGCAGCNAAACCGCGAGGUCANGCAAAUCCCAUAAAGUUGUUCUCAGUUCGGAUUGUAGUCUGCAACUCGACUACAUGAAGCUGGAAUCGCUAGUAAUCGUAGAUCANCAUGCUACGGUGAAUACGUUCCCGGGUCUUGUACACACCGA